GUGAGUAACCUGCCCUUGACUCUGGGAUAAGCCUGGGAAACUGGGUCUAAUACUGGAUACUACCUCUUACCGCAUGGUGGGUGGUGGAAAGGGUUUUACUGGUUUUGGAUGGGCUCACGGCCUAUCAGCUUGUUGGUGGGGUAAUGGCUCACCAAGGCGACGACGGGUAGCCGGCCUGAGAGGGUGACCGGCCACACUGGGACUGAGACACGGCCCAGACUCCUACGGGAGGCAGCAGUGGGGAAUAUUGCACAAUGGGCGGAAGCCUGAUGCAGCGACGCCGCGUGAGGGAUGACGGCCUUCGGGUUGUAAACCUCUUUCAGUAGGGAAGAAGCGAGAGUGACGGUACCUGCAGAAGAAGCGCCGGCUAACUACGUGCCAGCAGCCGCGGUAAUACGUAGGGCGCAAGCGUUGUCCGGAAUUAUUGGGCGUAAAGAGCUCGUAGGCGGUUUGUCGCGUCUGCUGUGA
This 468-nucleotide ribosomal RNA is filed under the name uncultured bacterium. Its description in RNAcentral is "bacterial SSU rRNA". It matches the Rfam family "Bacterial small subunit ribosomal RNA", at positions 117 to 597 of the family's 1533-position model. The record is from RNAcentral.